ACGUAGAUAGAAUGGUAGUUCGUCUGCUUUGUAAGCGGUGGACCGCGGGUUCGAUUCCCGCCCGGGGUU
Molecule: transfer RNA, 69 nt
Filed under: Diaphorina citri (Asian citrus psyllid)
Lineage: Eukaryota; Metazoa; Arthropoda; Insecta; Hemiptera; Psyllidae
Rfam family: tRNA
About the family: Transfer RNA (tRNA) molecules are approximately 80 nucleotides in length. Their secondary structure includes four short double-helical elements and three loops (D, anti-codon, and T loops). Further hydrogen bonds mediate the characteristic L-shaped molecular structure. tRNAs have two regions of fundamental functional importance: the anti-codon, which is responsible for specific mRNA codon recognition, and the 3' end, to which the tRNAs corresponding amino acid is attached (by aminoacyl-tRNA synthetases). tRNAs cope with the degeneracy of the genetic code in two manners: having more than one tRNA (with a specific anti-codon) for a particular amino acid; and 'wobble' base-pairing, i.e. permitting non-standard base-pairing at the 3rd anti-codon position.
Source: Rfam by way of RNAcentral